Molecule: long non-coding RNA, 754 nt
Organism: Homo sapiens (human)
Lineage: Eukaryota; Metazoa; Chordata; Mammalia; Primates; Hominidae
Source: Ensembl
AUUGCCAGCAAGCACAGGAAGCUAGGAGAGAGGCAUUGAACAGAUUCUUCCUCCAAGCCUCCAGAAAAAGCAGCCCGGUAGACACCUUGAUAUCAGACUUCUGGCCUCCAGAAAAAACGUGGGGGUCCUCUCCUAUCUCGUUUUUGGUUCUCUGUUAUCUUCUCCACUGAGAAUCCACCUUUGAGAGUGAACUCUUCAAAGAAAAGGACCACAUUUUCUCCAUCAUUGGACCCAUCAUGCAGCAUCUAGUGCAAUGCCUGGCACUUAGCAGUCAUUCUUCACACUGUCUACCACUAUGAUAAAAAGUUACAUGAGUUAAGUACCACAUGGGCUACACAGACAUUGUCCUAAGAAGCCAAGGAGGAAAGGAGCUUGCCAGAGGGGGCAAGUUUUAUGAAAGAGGAUGUCUUUGCACUGUUCCCUAAUGGAUAGAUGGGAUUUUCAACAGCAGACAUUGGGAAGAUGUCAUUGAAGUCAGAAGAAUUAUAUGAAUAGAAAAUUCAAAACAUGCUCAGAGAGCAGUAAGACUUGAGACAGGAGCAAUGUAAAGUAUUGACAUAAUUUAUGUACAUAAGAAAAAGAUUUGAACUAGAGUGGAAAAGGAAAAGAGGCAGUAGAUGUAAGAAAACAAAAAUCAUCAUGUACAUCAGGCCAGCAUUGGUAGGCAGAAAAGUUGAGAAAGUCUGCUCAAAGGAAGUAAGGGUUAUUUGUGGAAAUAUCGUCUCCUAUGAAGCCUUGUAGAUCUUCCUUCCUG